Molecule: ribosomal RNA, 154 nt
Filed under: Eimeria subspherica
Lineage: Eukaryota; Apicomplexa; Conoidasida; Eucoccidiorida; Eimeriidae
Description: partial 28S rRNA
Rfam family: Eukaryotic large subunit ribosomal RNA
Source: RNAcentral
CUAGACCUGAAAUCAGUCGAGGUUACCCGCUGAAUUUAAGCAUAUUACUAAGCGGAGGAAAAGAAAAUAACUAUGAUUCCCUCAGUAACGGCGAGUGAAGCGGGAUGAGCUCAAAGUGAAAAUCGCUGUUUCUUUUGAAACCGCGAAUUGUAGC